Molecule: ribosomal RNA, 479 nt
Filed under: uncultured bacterium
Lineage: Bacteria
Description: bacterial SSU rRNA
Rfam family: Bacterial small subunit ribosomal RNA
Source: RNAcentral
GUGCCUAAUACAUGCAAGUCGAGCGUGAGCACUUUGGUGCUUAGCGGCGGACGGGUGAGUAACACGUAGGCAACCUGCCUAUAAGACUGGGAUAACUAUCGGAAACGAUAGCUAAGACCGGAUAACUGGUUUUCUCGCAUGAGAGAGUCAUGAAACACGGAGCAAUCUGUGGCUUAUAGAUGGGCCUGCGGCGCAUUAGCUAGUUGGUGAGGUAACGGCUCACCAAGGCGACGAUGCGUAGCCGACCUGAGAGGGUGAACGGCCACACUGGGACUGAGACACGGCCCAGACUCCUACGGGAGGCAGCAGUAGGGAAUCUUCCGCAAUGGACGCAAGUCUGACGGAGCAACGCCGCGUGAGUGAUGAAGGUUUUCGGAUCGUAAAGCUCUGUUGCCCUAGACGACAGCAAGGCGAGUAACUGCGCUUUGUGUGACGGUAUAGGAGAAGAAAGCCCCGGCUAACUACGUGCCAGCAGCCGC